RNAcentral lists this ribosomal RNA (253 nucleotides) under uncultured bacterium. Its description in RNAcentral is "partial 16S ribosomal RNA". It matches the Rfam family "Bacterial small subunit ribosomal RNA", at positions 524 to 776 of the family's 1533-position model. The record is from RNAcentral.
GACAGGGGGCUCGAGCGUUAAUCGGAAUCACUGGGCUUAAAGGGUGCGUAGGCGGGCCAGUAAGCGUCUUGUGAAAUCCCCCGGCUCAACCGGGGAACUGCGGGGCGAACUGCUGGUCUUGAGGAAGCUAGAGGCCGGUAGAACGAUUGGUGGAGCGGUGGAAUGCGUAGAUACCAAUCGGAAUGCCGAAAGUGAAGACAGCCGGCUGGGGCUUUCCUGACGCCGAGGCACGAAAGCGUGGGGAGCAAACGGG